RNAcentral lists this ribosomal RNA (439 nucleotides) under uncultured bacterium. RNAcentral's name for it is "partial 16S ribosomal RNA". It matches the Rfam family "Bacterial small subunit ribosomal RNA", at positions 339 to 795 of the family's 1533-position model. The record is from RNAcentral.
CUACGGGGUGCACCAGUGAGGAAUAUUGCACAAUGGGGGGAACCCUGAUGCAGCAACGCCGCGUGGAGGAUGACGCAUUUCGGUGUGUAAACUCCUUUUAUAUGUCAAGAAAAUGAAGGUAGCAUAUGAAUAAGCACCCGCUAACUCCGUGCCAGCAGCCGCGGUAAUACGGAGGGUGCAAGCGUUAGUCGGAAUCACUGGGCGUAAAGGACGCGUAGGCGGGUUGGAAAGUCAGGUGUGAAAUCCUACAGCUUAACUGUAGAACUGCACUUGAAACUUCUAAUCUAGAGUAUGGGAGGGGGAGAUGGAAUUAGUGGUGUAGGGGUAAAAUCCGUAGAUAUCACUAGGAAUACCUAAAGCGAAGGCGAUCUCCUGGAACAUUACUGACGCUAAGGCGUGAAAGCGUGGGGAGCAAACAGGAUUAGAUACCCUAGUAGUC